This 848-nucleotide ribosomal RNA is filed under the name uncultured bacterium. RNAcentral describes it as "bacterial SSU rRNA". It matches the Rfam family "Bacterial small subunit ribosomal RNA", at positions 58 to 916 of the family's 1533-position model. The record is from RNAcentral.
CAAGUCGACGAUGAAGCCGGAGCUUGCUCUGGUGAAUUAGUGGCGAACGGGUGAGUAACACGUGAGUAACCUGCCCUUGACUCUGGGAUAACUGCUAGAAAUGGUAGCUAAUACCGGAUACGACCCUCGGCGGCAUCGCCAGGGGGUGGAAAGAAUUUCGGUCAAGGAUGGACUCGCGGCCUAUCAGCUAGUUGGUGAGGUAACGGCUCACCAAGGCGACGACGGGUAGCCGGCCUGAGAGGGUGACCGGCCACACUGGGACUGAGACACGGCCCAGACUCCUACGGGAGGCAGCAGUGGGGAAUAUUGCACAAUGGGCGCAAGCCUGAUGCAGCAACGCCGCGUGAGGGAUGACGGCCUUCGGGUUGUAAACCUCUUUUAGUAGGGAAGAAGCGAAAGCGACGGUACCUGCAGAAAAAGCACCGGCUAACUACGUGCCAGCAGCCGCGGUAAUACGUAGGGUGCAAGCGUUGUCCGGAAUUAUUGGGCGUAAAGAGCUCGUAGGCGGUUUGUCGCGUCUGCUGUGAAAUCCCGAGGCUCAACCUCGGGCCUGCGGUGGGUACGGGCAAACUAGAGUGUGGUAGGGGAGAUUGGAACUCCUGGUGUAGCGGUGGAAUGCGCAGAUAUCAGGAAGAACACCGAUGGCGAAGGCAGAUCUCUGGGCCAUUACUGACGCUGAGGAGCGAAAGCGUGGGGAGCGAACAGGAUUAGAUACCCUGGUAGUCCGCGCCGUAAACGUUGGGAACUAGAUGUAGGGUCCAUUCCACGGAUUCUGUGUCGCAGCUAACGCAUUAAGUUCCCCGCCUGGGGAGUACGGCCGCAAGGCUAAAACUCAAAGGAAUUGACGG